AACAGCUGCAACAGCCACAUAUCCUUUGGAUCUUGUAAGGACAUGCCUUGCAGCUCAGGUGUCAUAUAGCCUCACAAUCACAGAGUUCCUUGGGGAAGUUCAUCGAGUCCUUAGCAUUUUCUUCCAGAUUAUGGGUAUUGCUGGUUGCCUCAUAUUUCCGGAAAAAGUUUGCUGGUAUCUUAUCUGAGAAGGAAAUUUUGGGCUCAAAACAUUUAAAUUACUUUUGAAACAUAUGGUUUCUUGCAAUAUAGUUUUUAUCUGGUUUUCUGAUAAGUUAAUUUGGACGGUUGCAAGGUGCUACCAGAAGGGAGGAUUAGUUGAGAAGUAUGCUAGUUCACAGAUGCCUUUGUCAAAGCAUCAAACUCGGCCGGGAGUAUUCAUGGAAUUUUGCAAGCAUGAUUCCUGUGCCUGUGGUUGUGAGCCAUACAUAGAUAAUCUGACUCUGUUCAAGGGAAAAGAUGCUUACAGUCAAGGAGUCAUUGAUGUAGUUCGAGUAGAAGAUCCAAGAUGAAGUAGAACGAUUAGCAUGCAGAUUUCUUAUUUCUGGUAUUUAGUUUGAAUGCGAUGAAAACCUUCAAUGCUGAAACUGGUAGGGUUAACAAACUGCCUAAAGUGAAAUCGCUUCCGGGCGUACCUAAACAACCAGGUGGAGUUGAGUGUGGCUAUUAUGUUAUGCGAUACAUGAAAGAGAUAAUAGAGGAUGAGACACUUUCAUUUCCUACCAAGUGGGCGGUAAAGAUGCGGAAGUCAUAUAACCAAAAUCAAAUUGACGAGGUGCGCAUUGAAGUGGCUGAUUAUAUACAGAGUUUGAUGUAGGACUGUGACUGCCAAGAUGUUUUAUGAGUAAGGCUAGCUAGUUUUGGCUUUGAAGCAAAGCUUGGUGUGGAACUUUUGUACAUUGUUGCUUAUAUUUUUCCAAGCUUUGUUUUGUAAGUUUAGGGGUUUAUUUUGGCCCAUUAUGUUGAAUCAUGAAUUUGGAAAGAACAUUAAUGGAAAGCCCUUAAUUUUGGAUGAUGAGAAA
Molecule: long non-coding RNA, 1021 nt
Organism: Rosa rugosa (rugosa rose)
Lineage: Eukaryota; Viridiplantae; Streptophyta; Magnoliopsida; Rosales; Rosaceae
Exons: 8
Source: RefSeq, a predicted model, not a curated record